AUCCUGGAGCAGCCAGCAAGUCUGCUGGGGUCACUAACAGGUGCCUACAGGAUGGGGGAGAGACCUGGGGUCCUCUUCUGUUUUUGUAGCUGGCAUGCCAAAUAGUUGAUGUGGAAUUUUGAGGUCUGUAACCAUUUGAUGAAACAGUCCUAGAGAAUAAAAGCAGGCAUUUUGGAGAUGGGCUGUGUCUGGCUUCCAGGGACCCAGAAGGAGCUCCAGUAACGCAAGAUGUGGGGUUUUCUGGGAAAGAGAUGCAAAUUAAAAAGCUGGCAUGGACUGAAAAUCUGGCAUCAACUGUUAAGUAACAAAUGAUAAAAUAACCUUUAAAAAUAAAGUUAGAAUUGAAAAAAUUAAA
Long non-coding RNA from Canis lupus familiaris (dog), 355 nucleotides. RefSeq lists it as uncharacterized. Lineage: Eukaryota; Metazoa; Chordata; Mammalia; Carnivora; Canidae. The record is from RefSeq and is a predicted model, not a curated record. The transcript has 2 exons.